CAAAAAGGUAAGGAAGUAGCUGGCCUUAAAAGAUCCUCCUUUUACACAGCCUUGUCAAAAAAGACAGUCUUUUUAAAGAUGAGGGAAGGAGUGAAUGUGAAUGUGACUGUGAUUGUGAGAGUGAUUCUAUGAGAAAGAUGUACUCUUUCUCCCUUUCAUGAUUCCCUCUUGUUUGGUUAUUCCUAUUUCUUCCCCUUCUUAUUUAUUUUAAAUACAUGAUUUAUUUUACGAUUGACUUCAAUUUUGCAUCCACGUACUAAUUCCAUUCAUUUUUAUUCUACUCGGUUACUUCAUCAUUUUGAUUAUGAGAUCUGGGUUUAGAAGAAAUUUUGUGUUUAUGGAAUUUUUUUUUGCAAAUUUAUCUAGUGAUUAAUUAAAUUUUAACGUAAUUUUGCGGGGUUGAACAUAAAUUGUAUGAUGAAUUGGGUUAAGGGCUCUGGAGGCAGCGGUUCAUCGAUCUGUUCCUGUUCUUGAUUUGGGAUUUCUUUAGGUUUAUUGCAGUAAUUGAUCGAUAAACCUCUGCAUCCAGCGCUCAACUCCUCUUUCUUAAGAUAAUUAACUUCUUAAAUCUGAAGGAAAAUGCUGGGAUGAUGAAACUUAUGAAGCAGAAACUUCUACUAAGGUUUUUCUUUCUUUUCUGUUUUAAUGGUUAAAUUUCUAUGUAUUGUUUGUUUAUGAUUUUGUUUGUUUUUCCCAUUUUGUGUUUUCUUGAGUUUUAUAUUUUGUAUAUAUACUUAGAAUUUGAUACUAUAUUACUCUAUCCCUUUCAUUUUAUACCAACAAUUAAAAGUUGCUGUUUUAGUUUGUAGUACGAGAAUCAUCUGCUAAUCUAGUAGUUAUAGGUGCCGAUAGGGGUUGAUUCUCACAAACUAUGAGAAGGUAAAUUCCUUCUUCUCCUCUUAGAAAUUAGUGUUUGUAGGUCAGUGAUAAGGGUUUGAUUCUGAUGACCUACUAGAAAGUCAAUUUCUUCUCCCUUUUGGGUAUUUUCUUUACCCUAAAAUUCAAAAGAAUUCGUAGUGCGAGAAAAUGCUUAGAAAUCAAGUGGUUGGAUGAAAUAGGUGGAUGAGAUGAAGAGUGAGAACGACUUUGUGGAAUGAGGUUGGGAGAUAAAUUCUAGACAAGAACUAAAUUAUUGUAGUCAAAACGAAGGGAUGAUCUAAAAUAAAAAGUUUACUAAGAUUACGGCCAGCGGGAGUAAUUAGGAUAUGAUUCUUAUUUUUAUGAUAUGUGCUUGUAGCUUUUGUUUCUUGUAUUUCAUUCAGCUGAGCUUUUGUUUAUAUUCAAUAUUUGUGUUGACAUUACUUGUAUUAUUGUAGAGUUAAUUAAUGGAUGUAUAAAUUAAUGGGUAUGGAAAAAAUUUUCGGAUGUUAUUAACAAAGUACUGCAUUAUCAUACUUGAGGAUAUAUCAAUAGGUAAAGAACAUCUCAUGUUGGUUUGUUUUCAUUUAUUUAGUCGUAUAUGUUGGGAUUAAGGUUUUGCUGUUGUAUUGUAGCCAAACAAUUUGUUGUGAAUCAGGAUUGAAAACUGAUAUACUCCUAUAAUUUAUUGUGGUUUUCUCAUAUUUUCUCAAUUCUAAGUUAUAUCUUAUUAACUCAUAAGUUAUCUUUCAAAGCAUAUGCGGAUGUCCUUUUGGACUAUGUAUUUGAAGGCGUGUUUAGUAAGUCAAAGCAUAUAAUGGUUUUUUGUAGUAUCUUGCAAGUUGCAAUUCUGAAGUGUCUUGCAAGUUGCAUUAGUUAGUCAUUGGUAGUUAUGGAUUUUUGUUGAAAAAUUUGUCUAGAAGAGAAAAUUGAUCUUGAAAAUCUGAUUGAAGAUGGAUUUCACUAAGUUCCCUUUUUAGCUAAUAUAAUUAUGAUGUAAGUGUAGUUUUUAGUGCUGGAUGAGGUUGUAAGAAAGGACAGGGAUAAUAUUGAAGAGGCAUCUAAACAUGCGACUUAAAACAUAGUUUCGACUUUCAAGCAUCCUAAAAGGCUCGUGCACGGUGGGGGGGCUUGAUAAUGUCUAAUGCUGGUUAUUUAUGUAUAGACUUAAGUUGAGGAGGUGUGGCACUCACUGUCACAACUAGUGAUGGACCUCUCAAGGCAAGACAAGAACAGAAAAUGACUAAGUGAGAAGUCACACUCCAUGUCUUAUUAACUAUGCAUAGUAUAAUUCUAGGGGAAAUGGAAAAUAGUCAGUCUCGAUUUCGGGUGGGUGGGUGGGGAAGGACUCUAGCAAAUUGUUCUUAGAAACCAUGAUGGAGCUUUUGAUUUCUUUUCUAGCAAUGCAUAAGAACAAGAUUCCUAAAUCAAAUAAUAAUCUCAAGUCCAUGACAUAAUGCUCUUUUCUUAGUAUUUCCUUUCAUAUGCACUAAAAAGUUUCUUUGAAUUCUUGAUACUGUGAGGAAUUAAACCCCCACUACUAUAAGAUCAAAGGUUUAUGCUUCAAGAAUUGUUUUGCACAAACAACACCAAAACAUAAUUCAACACAAAACAAUCAAGAAUCCUAAUCUAAGCAAUGAAAGAGCAAACAAACCAAACAUAAUGAUUUACAUAAUUCACCCUUAAUUGGGCUACGUCCACGGUUUAGCCUAUGUCUUUAUUGCCUUAAGGAACCUCUAAUGGAGUUACAAUAGUGAUAAUCACAAUUGAGAGAAAUAAGAGAAUAAGGAGAGAAAGAGAGAGAGACGAUUAGAAAGCAUUAGUCACUAAUCUAUGUAAUUAGGCCUAUGUAUAAUACAUAGAGCCUAAUUACUUACAUACAAGAGCUGAAAACGACGAUGUAUUAGAGUUCGAACAAUUUGUUUCAAACUCCAAUAUUACCAAGAUCGAGUGUAUGAAGUUUUAGUGACAAACAAAUUACGCUAUCAAUGAUAUCAAUGUUUGUAGGAGAAAAUAAAGCAAUAAAACAACACAAAGAUUUAACGAGGUUCACCCAACUAAGGCUACGUCCUCCGGUGUGUAGUAUCCCUUAUAUUAUCAAAAGGAGUUCAAAGAACUCUCAAAUAUGGAGAAUUACAAUAGAGAAGAGAUAUAGGCUAGUGUUUGGCUUGAGGUGUAUUUGUGGAUGUUUACAAUGAGAUUGAGAGCUCUCUAUUUAUAGGAGAGAUCACACUAAGUUACAUUAAGUACAUUAAUGCUAUGAUUAAAUGAUAAUGAAACAUCCCUAAGUACAUAAAGAGUCAUAAAACAACAUUCUAGAGUAUCAGAGACUUCGCUCGACCAAAACAAGGGUUCGCUCGGUCGAGCGACUUGGUCGAGCGGACUUCAAUAAGCUUCUGGUUGCAUUCUGUUUGCUCGCUCGACCUAACCCUGAGCUCGCUCGGUCGAGCGAGCUGGUCGAGCGGCCCUUCAGAAGGCUUCUGACAGUAUUUGCUCGACUUGCAUAGUAGAGCAUCUUGAUUCAACCUUUCCACUUCUUCAUUAAGUCUCAUAACUCUCACACUUCAUUACCUUAUUAAUCCAUACUUAAUCACCAUCAUAAAUCAAUCAUCAAAACCUAACUUAAUACACCCACAUUAACACAUUCAUGGGAUUCCAUCCCAAAGGUUACACAUGAAUGCACCUCAUCAAAUGUGCUCUCAAGUCACACCAAUCACAACAAGAGCCUAGGAAAGAGAAGCCGAGAAGAAAAGAACAAAUAAGAAUUCUAGCACAUAACGCCGAGUCGGCUUUCCCUUGGCCAGGGAAAAGUUGACUCAGCUUUUAUUUCUGCCUCAAAACCCAAUUUUGCCUUUUCACGCCUUUUCACCUCUUUGUUACCAAUACAUACCUACAAUGGAUUAAGGGUCAUAGUCACCCCUUAAUCACAACACACUAGCCAUGUUUUUUAUAACUUUUAUAUCAUGAGCAAGAUUUAUUUUGGCCGAAUUUUCUAUCUCUUCUGUGCUUCUGUCAAUUAGGAUGAAAUCUGCUAAUAAUUUUAAUUUAUUGGUUUCAUUGUCUUAAGAAAAGCCAAUUGAUGUUGUUUUUCCUUUGGUUGAGAUGAGACCAUAUUUGCAAGGAAAAAUAACAAAAAACUACUUAAUUUAUAGCACCUUUUGCAAAAACUAUUUAAUCUAAUUUUUUAUUUUUUUGCAAAAAAAUCUCCAUUUUCUGAUGUCCUUUUCUUCUUUCGAGUUCCACUUAGAGAAUCUACAUCCUAAUUUUCUUCUUUAUUUUUCUUCUUCUGAGUUCCAUCUACAACAUUCUCUUUUUUCUUCUUCUAAAAGAAAAUCCCCAACACUAUCAAGAACCCUAAAAUGUAGCACAAAAACAAACGAAGAUUAAAAAUUUAAUGCUCUUAACAGAAGAAUCACAAAAAUUAGGAGGGAGAUUACCAAAUAAUUGGUUAUUUGAAGCAGAGAAUCUGUAUAAGCUCUUAACUAAUCUAAUUCCCUGAAGAAUUAUACUAAUAAAGUUGUUAUUAUCAAUCUAAACUUGCUCUAAUUGGGUUGAAAUUGAUAUAGAUUCAGGAAUUUCGCCAGAAAAUAUAUAUUUGGGAAAACCCCACUAAGCUUAUUGGAUGAAACAUCAAAACCAACCAAACUUCUCAAUGAAUCACCCAGAUUCUUGGGAAGUUCACCAGUUAGAUUAUUUUGAGAAAGGUCAGGAACUUUUAGAUUGUUUUAGCCCAGAAUAGUGUCGGGAAUCACCCUAAAAAAUCCAAAACUUUGUAGAGAAAGCAAGAGCAAUAAGUUGAGUGAAGUUACUAAAAAUCCUAGGAAGAUUACCAACAAGCAAAUUAUUAGCAAAGUUAAGAACUUGCAAAUCAUGUAAUAACCCAAUGCUUUCUGGGAUUUUACGUUCUAUAUGAUUUCUACUUAAAUCAAGCUUUUUCAAUGAAGAAAAAUGAGAAAUCUAUUCUAGGAUAGUACCCAAUAUAAGAUUACUUCUAAGACUUAGACUUACUAAAGACUCACAUUGAGAGAAAUGAAGUGGGAUUCGUUGAUUGAAGAGAUUAUCAGCAAGAUUAAGGGAAGAAAGAUUAGGAAGCUGACAUAUUGAAGGAGAGAAUUCACCUGAAAGAUUGAGACUUUGAAGGUCAAUUGUAAUAACAGACAAAGGAGUAUUAGAACAGGUGAUUUCAAUCCAGUUACAGUGAUGAGUAAGUGAAGUAUUAGACCAAGAAGAAAGAAAAUGAGAAGAGUCUUUAAUGGAGGAUUUGAAAUUAAGAAUGUCAGAUGCAGAUAUUGUAGAUGUAUUGAUUAUGGGAAUAAGAAGAUCAGAGAAUGGAAAAGGAGAAUAACUCUCACGUGCAAAGUCAACGUCCCACUUGACAGUCAACAGACGGUUUCCGUCAAGUGGUAGUCUUUUGAAAACCAAAAUAUCAUAUAAGGUAGUUUUUUGCAAUAAAAAUUAGAUUAGGUAGUUUUUUUUUGCAAAAGGUGCAUAUGAACGAAGUAGAUGCCAUAUGGUUGUUUUUCCUUUCCCUUUUCAGCCCAUGUAAUACUGGUGAAUGGUAUGUACAGGAGGGAGCAUGAUAGCAUUGAACCUUUAUUGAGCUAAUCCCACAAAACAGAUACAUGAUCUUCAAGAAUGUAGUCACAAUAAAGACUUUCAUGAGUAGGUGUUAUGCAAAUAAUUUUAUAUUGAUUCAAGAACUUCGUUGUGUAGAAACAAACAGCGAUUUUGAGGCUUUAUAUCUUUUCUUAUGAAAGGGCUUCGGAUUAUAUUAUGUAGUCUGUUCUGAAACAUACAGAUGUUUGUGGGUACAAAUUUUGGCUUGCUCUAUGUAUGUUUUAGGUAAAGUAGUGGUCUAGGCUAGAAAAUGCUUCAAGCGUUAAUCAUAUCUUGUUUGGUUUUAAGACAUAGUUACACACAAUAACAAUUUGACCACUAUGUCAUUGUCUCUGUGUAUCGUGUUGCUUUAUAUUAUCUUUUAUGAUACUUAUCAGGGUAGUAACAGGCAUAAUCCUUGAUCAAAAUUGCUCGGGUUAAGGUAAGUGUUAUUAUAACAAUGAGAAACUGACAAUGAUAUAGAUUGGUGGUAAUUUGUGUUCUCUCCUUGUGCUGUUGAAUCGUUUUAAAACUUUUCUCAAUAUCAUUUCGCCACUGGCAUAUAGCGAGAGUAAACAGUCAGUCAAAAAGGUAAUUUUCUGCAAUCCCCGGAAAAACAAUGCCUUUUUGCUUGGAAACGUUGUUCGCUUAUAUUUUGCAUCUUAUUGUGUCUAAAUAUUAUUGUCCUUAUUUGUUAUUAAGCUUGUUUAACCAUUGUGUCCGAAUCAGCUUGUUGGUUUUCUGUCCACAGCUUUCCUGAGUUUUCCUCCUCAUCCUUGGUACGAAUCAGCUAAAAUCAGGCUGAUCGAGAAAGCUUCUUUUUCGUUUUGAGUGGAAUCAGAUUCUACGAAGACCCAUGGGAGAAAACAAAGCACAAAACAAUACUCUCUAAGUGCCUCAACAUCCAGUGAACAAAAAGUGAAAAUAGGGUGAUAAAUGUUUAAGUUAGUGGGUGGAUUUGUGAAGCAUCGUAAUGAUACAUAUUACUUAAGAGACUGAAAGUUCCAACUAUAUUCAGUUUGCUGGCUUUCACUCCAAAAACCCCCUUGCUUGAGGUUUGGUCUAAUUGUCUGGAUGCUUCCAUCAAUUUCCUCGACCCCUCGGCCUUUUUCAACAGCUUGAGGCAAUUGAGAUUCAACCUAAUUAUCUUCUGACUUCAUUCUUGAGGGAUUAUGUUUGAAUAACAAUCUAACAAUACUUGUUAAGUACGUAUAGAUUAAUACGAGCAUAUAAGUUGUAUAUUUAAUAUGUAGACAUUACUUGUUAGAGAAUAAUGUGCGUUCUUAAACUAAUUAUAUUA
Molecule: long non-coding RNA, 6754 nt
Organism: Amaranthus tricolor (Joseph's coat)
Lineage: Eukaryota; Viridiplantae; Streptophyta; Magnoliopsida; Caryophyllales; Amaranthaceae
Exons: 2
Source: RefSeq, a predicted model, not a curated record